GACGAACGCUGGCGGCGUGCCUAACACAUGCAAGUCGAACGGGGUAGAGAGCUUCGGUUUCUACUUAGUGGCGAACGGGUGAGUAACGCGUGAGGAACCUGCCUUUCAGUGGGGGACAACAGUUGGAAACGACUGCUAAUACCGCAUAACAUCCACGGACCGCAUGAUCUGUGGAUCAAAGCUUUAUGUGCUGAGAGAUGGCCUCGCGUCUGAUUAGCUAGUUGGUGGGGUAACGGCUCACCAAGGCGACGAUCAGUAGCCGGUCUGAGAGGAUGAACGGCCACAUUGGGACUGAGACACGGCCCAAACUCCUACGGGAGGCAGCAGUGGGGAAUAUUGCACAAUGGGCGAAAGCCUGAUGCAGCGACGCCGCGUGAGCGAAGAAGUAUUUCGGUAUGUAAAGCUCUAUCAGCAGGGAAGAAAAAAUGACGGUACCUGACUAAGAAGCACCGGCUAAAUACGUG
RNAcentral lists this ribosomal RNA (464 nucleotides) under uncultured bacterium. RNAcentral describes it as "bacterial SSU rRNA". It matches the Rfam family "Bacterial small subunit ribosomal RNA", at positions 28 to 507 of the family's 1533-position model. The record is from RNAcentral.